Molecule: non-coding RNA, 88 nt
Organism: Cladorrhinum sp. PSN332
Lineage: Eukaryota; Fungi; Ascomycota; Sordariomycetes; Sordariales; Podosporaceae
Source: the annotation of a GenBank genome assembly
UCUUCCGUCGUAAACUGGUUAGUAUAGGGGCUUCUCAACUUGAGUGUGACCAGCGCCCUUGACCUGGGUUCGAAUUCCGGCGGGAGAG